GUAACUGCUAAAUACAGGAAGAAAACUUCUUACGUGUAUURGAUUGACGGUACUUUGAGUAUAAUGGCCGUCUAACUCCUUGCCAGCGKCCGGGGKAAUUGSGUGGGUCCGAGCGUUAUCCGGAUUGUUGGGUUUAAAGGGUCCGUACUCACUGACUCUAAUGGACGAARAAAUGGGGMGCSUAAACUAUUAAAUUCCCUGUGAUUCUGSUCRKYUUACGUUGGAUACUAGUUGWUGGRAUSUGUAUUGUAGCGGYGAAWUGCAUAAAUUUUACACAAAACACCGAGUGCGGAGGCAGCUUACUAAKUAYUAACUGACGCUGAGGGACGAAAGCGUGGGUAGCGAACAGGAUUAGAUACCCUGGUAGUCCACGCCGUAAACGAUGGAUACUAGCUGUUSGGGACCUUGAGUUCUGAGCGGCUAAACUAAAGUGAUAASUAUCCGACCUGGGGAG
This 454-nucleotide ribosomal RNA is filed under the name uncultured bacterium. RNAcentral's name for it is "partial 16S ribosomal RNA". It matches the Rfam family "Bacterial small subunit ribosomal RNA", at positions 425 to 880 of the family's 1533-position model. The record is from RNAcentral.